Molecule: ribozyme, 80 nt
Filed under: Crocodylus porosus (Australian saltwater crocodile)
Lineage: Eukaryota; Metazoa; Chordata; Crocodylia; Crocodylidae
Description: Mammalian CPEB3 ribozyme (ENSCPRG00005013896.1)
Rfam family: Mammalian CPEB3 ribozyme
About the family: The mammalian CPEB3 ribozyme is a self cleaving RNA located in the second intron of the CPEB3 gene which belongs to a family of genes regulating messenger RNA polyadenylation.
Source: RNAcentral
AGAGUUUGCAAGUUUGAGGCCACAGCAGAAGUGCUCAUGGCAUGGCCCUUUCAGAUUCCAAUGGAUCUGCAAAUUCUGCU